RNAcentral lists this ribosomal RNA (245 nucleotides) under uncultured bacterium. Its description in RNAcentral is "partial 16S ribosomal RNA". It matches the Rfam family "Bacterial small subunit ribosomal RNA", at positions 524 to 767 of the family's 1533-position model. The record is from RNAcentral.
UACGAAGGGUGCAAGCGUUACUCGGAAUUACUGGGCGUAAAGCGUGCGUAGGUGGUUUGUUAAGUCUGAUGUGAAAGCCCUGGGCUCAACCUGGGAAUUGCAUUGGAUACUGGCAGGCUAGAGUGCGGUAGAGGGUAGUGGAAUUCCCGGUGUAGCAGUGAAAUGCGUAGAGAUCGGGAGGAACAUCUGUGGCGAAGGCGACUACCUGGACCAGCACUGGACACUGAGGCACGAAAGCGUGGGGA